This 192-nucleotide ribosomal RNA is filed under the name uncultured bacterium. RNAcentral describes it as "partial 16S ribosomal RNA". It matches the Rfam family "Bacterial small subunit ribosomal RNA", at positions 1311 to 1500 of the family's 1533-position model. The record is from RNAcentral.
CUCGCCUGCAUGAAGCUGGAAUUGCUAGUAAUCGCGGAUCAGCAUGCCGCGGUGAAUACGUUCCCGGGCCUUGUACACACCGCCCGUCACACCAUGAGAGUUGGCAAUACCCAACGUACGUGAUCUAACCCGCAAGGGAGGAAGCGUCCUAAGGUAGGGUCAGCGAUUGGGGUGAAGUCGUAACAAGGUAAC